This is a non-coding RNA of Hordeum vulgare subsp. vulgare (domesticated barley), 136 nucleotides long. NCBI's taxonomy places the organism in Eukaryota, Viridiplantae, Streptophyta, Magnoliopsida, Poales, Poaceae. The record is from Rfam.
CAAGUACCCCCUCCGUCCCAAAAUUCUUGUCUUGGGUUUGUAUAGAAAUAUAUGUAUCUAAAUACUAAAACGUGAUUCGAUACAUUCAUAUCUAGAAAAAUCCAAGACAAGAAUUUUGGGACGGAGGAAGUACUUU